ACAACGGCCUUUUUCAGGGCCACCACAUGAUGUGAUGCCGAAGUUGU
Molecule: non-coding RNA, 47 nt
Organism: Macrostomum lignano
Lineage: Eukaryota; Metazoa; Platyhelminthes; Macrostomidae
Source: Rfam